This 259-nucleotide ribosomal RNA is filed under the name uncultured Staphylococcus sp. RNAcentral's name for it is "partial 16S ribosomal RNA". It matches the Rfam family "Bacterial small subunit ribosomal RNA", at positions 103 to 354 of the family's 1533-position model. Lineage: Bacteria; Bacillati; Bacillota; Bacilli; Caryophanales; Staphylococcaceae. The record is from RNAcentral.
CGGGUGAGUAACACGUGGAUAACCUACCUAUAAGACUGGGAUAACUUCGGGAAACCGGAGCUAAUACCGGAUAAUAUUUUGAACCGCAUGGUUCAAAAGUGAAAGACGGUCUUGCUGUCACUUAUAGAUGGAUCCGCGCUGCAUUAGCUAGUUGGUAAGGUAACGGCUUACCAAGGCAACGAUGCAUAGCCGACCUGAGAGGGUGAUCGGCCACACUGGAACUGAGACACGGUCCAGACUCCUACGGGAGGCAGCAGAU